GCAGUCGAGCGGNACGAGUAUCUGAACCUUCGGGGAACGCUACGGCGUCUAGCGGCGGACGGGUGAGUAAUGCCUAGGAAAUUGCCCUGAUGUGGGGGAUAACCANUGGAAACGAUGGCUAAUACCGCAUGAUGCCUACGGGCCAAAGAGGGGGACCUUCGGGCCUCUUCGCGUACAGGAUAUGCCCUAGGUGGGAUUAGCUAGUUCGUUGAGGUAAGGGCUCACCCAAGGCGACGAUCCCUAGCUGGUCUGAGAGGAUGAUCAGCCACACUUGGAACUGAGACCACGGUCCAAAACUCCUACGGANAGGCAGCAGUGGGGAAUAUUGCACAAUGGGCGCAAGCCUGAUGCAGCCAUACCGCGUGUAUGAAGAAGGCCUUCGGGUUGUAAAGCACUUUCAGUCGUGAGGAAGGUAGUGUAGUUAAUAGCUGCAUUACUUGACGUUAGCGACAGAAGAAGCACCGGCUAACUCCGUGCCAGCAGCCGCGGUAAUACGGAGGGUGCGAGCGUUAAUCGGAAUUACUGGGCGUAAAGCGCAUGCAGGUGGUUUGUUAAGUCAGAUGUGAAAGCCCGGGGCUCAACCUCGGAAUAGUAUUUGAAACUGGCAGACUAGAGUACUGUAGAGGGGGGUAGAAUUUCAGGUGUAGCGGUAAAUGCGUAGAGAUCUAAGGAAUACCGGUGCGAAGCGGCCCCCUGGACAGANCUACACUC
RNAcentral lists this ribosomal RNA (711 nucleotides) under Vibrio sp. NBF26. Its description in RNAcentral is "bacterial SSU rRNA". It matches the Rfam family "Bacterial small subunit ribosomal RNA", at positions 57 to 748 of the family's 1533-position model. Lineage: Bacteria; Pseudomonadati; Pseudomonadota; Gammaproteobacteria; Vibrionales; Vibrionaceae. The record is from RNAcentral.